Molecule: ribosomal RNA, 375 nt
Filed under: uncultured bacterium
Lineage: Bacteria
Description: bacterial SSU rRNA
Rfam family: Bacterial small subunit ribosomal RNA
Source: RNAcentral
AUUGAACGCUGGCGGCAGGCCUAACACAUGCAAGUCGAGCGCGAAAGGUCUUCGGACCGAGUAGAGCGGCGGACGGGUGAGUAACGCGUAGGAAUCUACCUGGUAGUGGGGGACAACAUGGGGAAACUCAUGCUAAUACCGCAUACGCCCUAAGGGGGAAAGCGGGGGACCUUCGGGCCUCGUGCUAUCAGAUGAGCCUGCGUAGGAUUAGCUUGUUGGUAAGGUAAUGGCUUACCAAGGCGACGAUCAGUAUCUGGUUUGAGAGGACGAUCAGACACACUGGAACUGAGACACGGUCCAGACUCCUACGGGAGGCAGCAGUGGGGAAUUUUCCGCAAUGGGCGAAAGCCUGACGGAGCAAUACCGCGUGAGGGA